ACGCUGGCGGCGUGCCUAACACAUGCAAGUCGAGCGGGGAUUGUGGAGAGCUUGCUCAAAGCAAUUCUAGCGGCGGACGGGUGAGUAACGCGUGAGCAACCUGCCUAUCACUGGGGAAUAACGCAUCGAAAGGUGUGCUAAUACCGCAUGAGACCACAGGACCGCAUGGUCAAGGGGUCAAAGAUUUAUCGGUGAUAGAUGGGCUCGCGUCUGAUUAGCUAGUUGGUGAGGUAACGGGCCCACCAAGGCGACGAUCAGUAGCCGACCUGAGAGGGUGAUCGGCCACAUUGGAACUGAGAAACGGUCCAAACUCCUACGGGAGGCAGCAGUGGGGAAUAUUGGGCAAUGGGCGCAAGCCUGACCCAGCAACGCCGCGUGAAGGAAGAAGGUCUUCGGGUCGUAAACUUCUAUCCUUGGUGAAGAUAAUGACGGUAGCCAAGAAGGAAGCCCCGGCUAACUACGUG
Molecule: ribosomal RNA, 464 nt
Filed under: uncultured bacterium
Lineage: Bacteria
Description: bacterial SSU rRNA
Rfam family: Bacterial small subunit ribosomal RNA
Source: RNAcentral